GGUUUCCGUAGGUGAACCUGCGGAAGGAUCAUUAUUGAAAUAAACCUGAUGAGUUGCUGCUGGCUCUCUAGGGAGCAUGUGCACACUUGUCAUCUUUAUAUCUCCACCUGUGCACCUUUUGUAGAUCUGGAUAUCUCUCUGAGCGCUUAGCAACUCAGGUUUGAGGAUUGACUUUAUUGUCUCUCCUUACAUUUCCAGACCUAUGUUUCUUUAUAUACCCCAAUGUAUGUCAUAGAAUGUAAUUAAUGGGCCUUUGUGCCUAUAAAUCUAUACAACUUUCAGCAACGGAUCUCUUGGCUCUCGCAUCGAUGAAGAACGCAGCGAAAUGCGAUAAGUAAUGUGAAUUGCAGAAUUCAGUGAAUCAUCGAAUCUUUGAACGCACCUUGCGCUCCUUGGUAUUCUGAGGAGCAUGCCUGUUUGAGUGUCAUUAAUAUAUAUCAACCUCUACAACUUUUGUUUGUUGAGUUGUUGGAUGUGGGGGCUCUUGCUGGCUUCUCUGAGGUCAGCUCCCCUGAAAUACAUUAGCGGAACGAUCCCCGUUCAUUGGUGUGAUAACUAUCUACGCUAUUGACGUGAAGUAGUUUGGCUUAUAACAGUCCAUUGACUUGGACAAAUUUUCAUUAAUGUGACCUCAAAUCAGGUAGGACUACCCGCUGAACUUAAGCAUAUCA
RNAcentral lists this ribosomal RNA (671 nucleotides) under Thaxterogaster herpeticus. RNAcentral describes it as "eukaryotic LSU rRNA". The stretch from base 274 to 427 matches the Rfam family "5.8S ribosomal RNA". Lineage: Eukaryota; Fungi; Basidiomycota; Agaricomycetes; Agaricales; Cortinariaceae. The record is from RNAcentral.